GAAAUGCGAUAAGUAAUGUGAAUUGCAGAAUUCAGUGAAUCAUCGAAUCUUUGAACACAUCUUGCGCUCCUUGGUAUUCCUUGGAGCAUGCCUGUUUGAGUAUCAUGAAAUCUUCAAAGUAAAUCUUUUGUUAACUCAAUUGGUUUCUACUUUGGUAUUGGAGGUCUUUGCAGCUUCACACCUGCUCCUCUUUGUUCAUUAGCUGGAUCUCAGUGUUAUGCUUGGUUCCACUCGGCGUGAUAAGUUAUCUAUCGCUGAGGACACUGUAAAAGGUGGCCAAGGUAAAUGCAGAUGAACCGCUUCUAAUAGUCCAUUGACUUGGACAAUACUUUUAUGAUCUGAUCUCAAAUCAGGUAGGACUACCCGCUAAAUUUAAGC
RNAcentral lists this unclassified non-coding RNA (378 nucleotides) under plant metagenome. Its description in RNAcentral is "partial contains 5.8S ribosomal RNA, internal transcribed spacer 2, and large subunit ribosomal RNA". The stretch from base 1 to 105 matches the Rfam family "5.8S ribosomal RNA", at positions 50 to 154 of the family's 154-position model. The record is from RNAcentral.